RNAcentral lists this ribosomal RNA (464 nucleotides) under uncultured bacterium. RNAcentral's name for it is "partial 16S ribosomal RNA". It matches the Rfam family "Bacterial small subunit ribosomal RNA", at positions 338 to 795 of the family's 1533-position model. The record is from RNAcentral.
CCUACGGGUGGCUGCAGUAGGGAAUCUUCGUCAAUGGGCGCAAGCCUGAACGAGCAAUGCCGCGUGAACGAGGAAGGUCUUCGGAUCGUAAAGUUCUGUUGAAGGGGAAAAAGAGCGGAGAGAGGAAAUGCUUUCUGAUUGAUAUUACCCUUCGAGGAAGUCACGGCUAACUACGUGCCAGCAGCCGCGGUAAUACGUAGGUGGCGAGCGUUAUCCGGAAUGAUUGGGCGAAAAGGGUGCGUAGGCGGCCUGCUAAGUCUGGAGUGAAAGGUACCGGCUCAACCGGUACAGGCUCUGGAAACUGGCGAGCUAGAGAGCAGGAGAGGGCGGUGGAACUCCAUGUGUAGCGGUAAAAUGCGUAGAUAUCACGCAGAACCCCGAUUGCGAAGGCAGCAUACCGGUGCACAACUGACGCUCAGGCACGAAAGCGUGGGUAUCGAACAGGAUUAGAUACCCGAGUAGUC